ACGGAAGGCAGCAGUGGGGAAUAUUGCGCAAUGGAGGAAACUCUGACGCAGCGACGCCGCGUGAGUGAUGAAGUAUUUCGGUAUGUAAAGCUCUAUCAGCAGGGAAGAUAAUGACGGUACCUGACUAAGAAGCACCGGCUAAAUACGUGCCAGCAGCCGCGGUAAUACGUAUGGUGCAAGCGUUAUCCGGAUUUACUGGGUGUAAAGGGAGCGUAGGUGGUCUGGCAAGCCAGAAGUGAAAACCCGGGGCUCAACUCCGUGGAUUGCUUUUGGAACUGUUGGACUAGAGUGCAGGAGGGGUAAGUGGAAUUCCUAGUGUAGCGGUGAAAUGCGUAGAUAUCGGGAGGAACACCAGUGGCGAAGGCGGUUUACUGGACGACAACUGACGCUGAGACGCGAAAGUGUGGGGAGCAAACAGGAUUAGAUACCCUGGUA
RNAcentral lists this ribosomal RNA (435 nucleotides) under uncultured Lachnospiraceae bacterium. Its description in RNAcentral is "partial 16S ribosomal RNA". It matches the Rfam family "Bacterial small subunit ribosomal RNA", at positions 341 to 792 of the family's 1533-position model. Lineage: Bacteria; Bacillati; Bacillota; Clostridia; Lachnospirales; Lachnospiraceae. The record is from RNAcentral.